AGGUCUUAAUAAUUUUAUUUUUUGCUUCAUAUAAAGAACGGGGUAAUGAAGUACUUUCAGGAAAUGCAUCAGCCAGUGUCUCUAAUAACAUACUAAAUGACUUUCCUGACCAACCAUUUAGGCAUUUCAAGUGGAACAAAUGGAGUAUAAAAGAUAGUUUUUAAAAUGUCUUGCAUUCCAGAUAUAAUUCUUCAUUUGCAUCUUUUAGUAGUUUAUGAAAAUCAUGAUUUCCAUUAGUCUCUUGACUAGAUUGUUCUAUGCGAGGUUCUACUGUAGAUUGUUCUGGGUCCGCCCUUCCGCCAAAUUCUUUAAUUGGUAUAUCUAUUUCAUUAGUUGGUUCACCGGCUAAGCCAAUGGCAUCAUGUAAAAGUCUAUAUAUGUCAUCUGAUCUUCUAAACUUUUGGGUAAUAGGGAUGCACUCUUGCACAUGUAAAACAUAUUGUACAUGCAAAGACUGAGAAGUUGAAGAAGAGGUGGCAAUUUUAAUUAGGGAAAUAAAAGAUAAAGACUCCCUCCAUGGCAAACCCAUCUUAUAUAUUCCCUUAGUAAGCCAUCACAUAUUAAGUGUAUCUUCGCAUCCUCAAAUUUCUGUAAUGAACAAUUAACACAGCGUACAUAGGGGAACAUUAUUUUGCCAUUAUAGGAUACAUUACAAAAUGUAAAUUCUACAAAUUGUGAGACUUCAUUUUUAUAUGCAUCACUAUUUCUAGGUUUGAUCAUCCAACUUUUAUCCAUUAUAGCAAAACACUCCUUAAGAGGUGAUUUUCUAAGCAUUCUUUCAACACGAACUAGUAGAUUCUUUAUCCUCACAGCGAUGCCCCAGCAAGAGUUUGACUAGGUUCGGGCGUGAAAACCUUCUACCAAAUUCACCUAAUUCGCCUUAAACUGCAAUUGGUAAGAAAUUUUUUAUGCUACAUACUAUACCACAUUCAACAACAGAAUUAUGAAUAUAAAUACAAUCAAUGCUCAAAAAACUGCUUAAAGAAAAAAAAAUCUUUGCUGCUGCUUAGUUACUUUAUUUCUAGCUGAGUUACUUUAUAUUGAUAAAGUAGGAACUGCACCUACAAUUAGCUUUAUUGAUUUUAGUAAAGCCUACGAAGUGAACACUAAGUUUAAUACAUAUGCUCAAUCAAAAACAACUCUGCUGCCAAAAUCAAAAGUAUAGUGCUAAUAUGGUCAUUUUCUGUAUCAGAAGCUAUUGAUAAGCUUUCUUAUGGUUGCUCUUCCAACAGUCAUAAUUUUUCUAGCAUUGUUCUUUUAAGCAAUAAGCUUAGCAGCUAUAGUAAGAGGCUUCAACAACACUGAUCAAAAGUAUAAUGCCCAGUAUGGCUCACUUCUUCCUGGCAUACUGUAACUAGGGAGGUUUUAAUGAAUAACGCUUACAUCCUCCAGAAUUCUACUAAAAGAUCCAAAUAAAAAGACAAAUGUACAACAUUGGAGACUAAACAAAAACCUAAAACUGUAUCUAACUUCAGUUGCUCCGGUCUAAAUCGCUUGAAUUUACAAUAAGAUCAAAACAAUAAGAUCUAAAUUAUUUGAAAAUACAACUUCAAUCAACAGACCAGUGCUCCGGAUAAGUUGCAAGGAGAAAAAGUCACUUAACUCUCCAGCCCAGAAAAGAAUGCCUUCACUGCAUAAUCUGCAGAAAAGCAUAACCCACCUUCAAAUGUAAGAAGCACAAUAUAGGGAAAUACAGAACUGCGUAAAGUAUAUUGCGCCACAUGGGUGACUCAAGAUAGUAGUGAAGAUUGAUUAGAUCAAUAAAAAUUGUACUUGUGUUUGUAUUAGCAAAAGAUAUUAGGUAAAUUUACAUCUAUCAGGUCUCACUGGGCAUGCAGUUAACCAUGUGAACGAAAUGAUGAUGUGUAAAAGGGUGGCGCAUAAGAAUGAACAAUGACACGUACCCAAAACAAUAAAAUCUGAUAACUCCUCUCAAAGGGGGAAAACGAGAGUAGUUUUAAAAGUAACUACGGAUGAAAGUAACUAAGCAGCAGAGAUUUUUCUUCUUUUUUUUUUUUUAGGAUAAGCUGCAGGGAAGUGGGGAAGGGCGCACACCGAGCAGGCCAAGUGCCUCGGUGUAACACACUGGACCUUUGCAAAUUAAGAUGUUCGAGUGUUUGGACAGUGUCCUGAGCUUUUCCAGACUUUCUGGUAGGUCGUUGACUGUGUUCCGACCUAUGGUUUGUAUCCCGAGAUUUGCGGUUUAAAGCCUUGCACCAAAACCCGAAAAAAUGGGAUUUGGCCAACUCUCGGGUAGCUAUCUGAAGGUCUUGUACCGGUACAAGUUGGUGGUUGUACCGGUACAAGGUUGAUGGUUGUACCGGUACAGCCACCGGGCUUGUACCGGUACAGAGCCGCUGAACCCCCCAAACCCGAGCUUCGGGUUGAGAUUUUUCGCGGGGCUUGUACUGGUACAAGGGCCUGUGUACCGGUACAAGGGGGCAUUUUUCGUACAGUUUGGACUGCAGGGGUGUUUUUGCUAUUGUAGCAUUUCUACAAAUAACCCCACGCCUCCCCUCUUGUUCCCUGAGCUUGGAGGCAGUGGAGAGAAGGUAUGGGAGCCCUCUAUUCUCUCUCUUUGAUUUUCUUUGGUUUAUUUGGAAUUUUUGUGGUUUAAUCCUCUCUUUUUGCUCCUCUUUGCUUUUUGGUGCUAUUUCCACCAUGGGAGAAGCUUGGGAGCUUGGAGUUGAGUUUGUUGGAGGAGAGAUUUUCAACCCUAGUAGAUUUUGAACCUUGUUUGAGGCUUCAUGAGAGGUUAGUUGCUUACUAUUUCUCUUUUGAUCAUGAUUUUCAUGGUUUUUGUAUAGAAACCCUAGAAAUGAGGACUUAGGGUUUAUUUUGGGCGUUUUGGGCUUUUGGAGCUAGAUUCUUUGAUUUAGAACCUUCCUUGGGCUUGGAUUGGAAGGAUUCUAGCUCUCCUUUGGAGCUUAGGAGAGGAUUUUUACUCUUGAGGUGAGUUUUGGCCCUUUUGCUUUAUGGUUAAUGAUUGAGCUAAUUGCUCUUCAUUUCGUUUGGGUGACCCUAUUUUUUAUGUUUCUAGGGUACUAGGAAGCUAGUGGAUACCUCUGUUCGGCGAAACGAAGGUUUCGAUUUUGGUGGGUUUGGCCUCAUCUAGAUGAGAUAAACUUCUCAUAUGAGGGUUUUUAUUUAUCGUUAAGUGAAAAUGCAUGCAUAUCCUUAUUAGAUAGAAUAUUUGAGAAUUUUAGAAUGCUUAAAAUGCACAUGUUAUAUACAAUGCAUAUUUGACCUCUAUAUAGUAGAGAGUUUUCAUAUUGGGCUAGGGGUCUAUGGUUAGCAUUCUUACAUUUGAUUGACAUCAUGUUACAUAUGGUGCAUAUGGCAUAUAGAUUACACUCUUGGACUUAGAACGCAUGCUUGACAUGGUUGAACAUAUCGACAGUAAGUGACAUAGGCUAGAGUGUAUACAAAUAGUAAGCUAAUAUCAUAAAGCGGCAUUAGGCUUGGACUAGAUAUGGACUCGGCAAGCUAAUGUCAUAAAGCGGCAUUAGACUUGAUGGAUAUGUAAAUUGCAUGUGCAUGUUAUUAUUAUGAGAAUUAUGCCAAGUUGAUAGUUGCAUUGGAAAGAACAUACAUGUAGCAAUACGAGAACAUGCUAGAGAGCAUGUGUAUUAAUCUAUUAUUGAUAGAACAAGCUAACAUCAUAAAGAGACAUAGAAUGUGAAAUGUGCUUAAAUUAUAGCCAUGUUUAAGUGUCAUAAAGAGGCACUAAACAUAGUGAAUGUGGGAACUUCACCUUGAGAUUUGGACUUAGUAAAGCUAAGGUCAUUGACAUCGAAAUUAUUGAACGGUUAAACCUUCACAUUGAGACAAAGUACUAGACCUUUGGGUUGCUAGUGACUGUUACCAUGUUAGAGACAUGAUGAUUGGAUACUUGAGAUGAUGAUCUUGCUUGCUUGCCAUUUGUGCUCAUUCGCACAUGCUUGUACGGGUCGCUCCCUACAAGCCGGCACUCCGGAGUUAGCCUACGCGACAUAUGCUCGCUCGUGCGGUACUGAGAAGCCUACGGGGUCGAGUGGGACAGACACAUUCCAAGGGCAGGAAUGUUGGGCUACCACAGGCACUUAGGCGGCACAAGCCAGACCUCAGCCUGUGUAGGUCCUAAAUGAGGAUUGAACGACUGAUAAUUUUAAUUAAUUUGGGUUGGAUAAAACACUUACUAGGACAGUUUGAUGGUAGGUGUGAUUCUGUUGCAUGCUGAUUGGCCAUUGGAGUUAUAUAGUAUACUUGGGGACGUUUAUCUUUAUUGCAUUGUUAGUUAUACUUUUGGGUUGCCCAUUGGGAUACUAAUACUUAGAUAUGUAGUGUUGGCUCUUGGGACAGUUUAUCGCAUACUGUUGUAUAGUAUUUACUUGAUUGCCAUCCAUAGCAAACUUGUUUAAGUUAUUGGCAUACUGGACAUUGGUAGAGUAGGAUGUACUCCAUGUUUCGACGGCCGAUCCGCCUAUGAUUACUGUGGCAUAGUAGAGUAGCUGUUGUAUUAUUACGAUCGCUUUAUUUUACCGCCAGUUGAAUUUUUUAUGUUAUUCCUGUAUUCCUGCUCGUGCUUUUUGGGCCUUAGGUUGGUUUUCGGGUUUUGAUGCAGCGUGAGUAACGUUUGUCCACUUGGGGAACUAUAAAUCUAUAGUUCUCAUGCCCCCCUGGUGUUUAUGUUUUCUUUCAGAGCCUUCCACUUCGGGAGGGGCUCGGGAUCGCGGGAAAGGUUUCGCCUUAAGCUAGCUAGCGAGGGAUUUGGCGAUAGGUGGUCCACCUCUCUUUUGUUUUUUUUUUUUGGAGAGGUUGUGAGAGUUUUGUACCAUAUUAUAGCGACCACCCUACUGUUGUAUCUUGAGACUUGUGAUGUAUUAGUUUUAUUAUUUUCUAGUGGUUUAGUCUUUUUUUUUCUUUCCUUUUUAUUUUCGCUUGUUGAUAGAACUUAGCUGCAUACUUGCUCUGAUAUCGUUAGUUAUUGUUUAUUUUAUCUUUCAUAUCACUUUGUUGUAGACGCCUUAUAUGUGCAGGCAUAUGGCGGGUCUAGGCACGCACCGGGUAGGGCCUAUGCCGGGACCCGGGGCGUGACACGCGGGGUAGGGGGGCCCAAGCGCGGGGGGGCGAAGCACACCAAGCUGGGGGGGCGCCGGAGCAGACGCGGCCCAAAAGGUGGGGAUAGCAGACCGCGUGCGGCCGCCGGCGGGGGCAAAGCAGACGUGGCCGUCGGGGAGGAGGAGGAGACGCGGCCGUCGGGAGGUGUUGUGUCGGCAGAGGCGUUCUCUAUUUUUUGGGAGAUAUUAGGGUUUUUGGCAGAGUUUGAGGCAUUUUUUUUUUUGGCCGGGGAAACCACUUUCUUUAUAAUCGAUUCUAUAGUGUCAACCGUAGGGGCGUAAAACGGGCCUAACGGCCUGUGGGCUGCCUGUCCCUGCACGACUGCAUGCUGGGCCGUGGCCCUGCACGGCUCCUGUAGCAUCUGUGAAGGGCCAGCCCGACCUAGCUCCAUGGGCCGUGCUAGGCCGAGCUUCUGCAGCCCGUAGGCCCGGCACGGCACGGCCGUUGUCGUGUUUGGGCCGUGCCGAGCUGAAAAGUCUACCCCGAGCUUGCCGUGCCAGCCGGGCCGACACGACACGGUCUAUUUACUUCUAAAGCCUGUAAGCUGUAGCCUAUUACAUAUUAUAAGCCUGGCUAGCAUGCUGCAUGCCCAACUGCCUUUAAGUUUUAGGACUUUUUGACCAAUUCUCAGACAGAGGGCCCAACGGCUCAAUAGCUGUUGGGUUAUCUUUUUUCUUUUUUUCUUCGAAAAAUACUAUUUUUACUAUUAUUUAAACAAAGAUUAAAAAAUAAAGAAAAAUUGAUCAAAAUGACGACAACGCCCUUACUAAAAUUCAAAAAAUUGAUAGUUAGAGAGGGCAUUUUGGUCAAAAAUAAAAAAUAGUUUUAAAAAAUAAUUUAAAAAAAAUUUAAAGAGGGACAGGGAAAAAAGCCUAUUGGCUAUUUCCGGGCUGGCCUGAAGCCCGGCCGGGCCCAUCCUAGAGGGGCCAGGAGCUGGGCCAGACCUUCCCCUCCAAGGAAAUAGGCCGGCACGGCUCAGCCCGCAUUUGUAAGCUGAUCGGGUUGGGCCAACCCUCGGCUCGAAUCGGCUCAGCUAAUGUGGUUCGUGCAUGCCAGCACAGCACGGCCCAGAUUACACCCCUAGUCAACCACUAGAGAUGCAAAUAAGGCGGAUUUGGAGACGAGAGCCCCGCCCUAACUACCAAAUCUCGCCCACGGGUUAAAAAAUAUAUCCCAUAAUCCGCUCCGCCUCAUAAUUCACCUGUCGCCGAUGUCCUGAAUCCGCCAGGUCAACUAUUUUUUUUUUUUUACAAAUUAUAAUAUUAUUAAUAUUUUGUAAAAUAUAAAUUAAUAUAUUUUUUAAUAAUAGUGAACAAUAUUACCAAAUUAUAUAUAUAAUUAACAACAUCAAUUAUAAAAAUAAAAAAUAUCAAUCACAAUCCGAAGCAAAAUUCAAAAAUUUCAAAUUCAUGAGAAAUGAGAGUACUAACUUAUUUGUAUUUUGGACUUUUUGGUAAAUAUUUUAUUUUUUGAGGGGUAUUUUGUUAAAAUAUAAAUGGUUUUCGGGGCGGAUUCGUGGCAGAUUAUGGCAUGGCGGAUUCAAGGCAAAAUUGGAGUAGGUCAAAAUUUUUCUCAUUUCUUGCCCUAAAUCUAUAUCGCAUCAUAAAAAUCACUAUGUUUUUUGCCUCGAACUCGUUUAUUUUUUUUGUUUAUUCCCUCAUUUAGGGCGGAUUGGGGCGAGAGCUCCACCAUCUUGGAUUCAUUUACAUCCCUAACAAUUGCAAGUCUGGAUUAAAAAAAUAAUAUAUAAAGAUAUGUCCAGAACUCGUGCGGUGUGGUGCUAGCAAUUAUAAUUAUAUGAGAAUGAGAAAGAAAAAGAGAGAGAGAGGGGGAGAGGCAGGUCAAAGGGCACGAGCAAGGAAGGCAGAGGAAGUCGGAGGGGAAAGCUCGAGAAAAGAGGACGAGUCAACGGAGUCAUCGGCGAGGUAGGCGAUUUUGAAACCCUAGUUUCAUUAGUAGAUGAACCGGCAAUAAAAACUAAACUGACCUAAUUCUGGUUAAGUGGUUGUCUGAAGGGAUGUGCGGUUAGGAUGAUAGUGGUCUCCUAAGGUUGAAUGGGUGGUUGGUGAAAUAGAAUAAUCUAAGGAGUGAAAAUGGUAAAAGGGGUAGAUCUAAAGGUAGAAAACUUACAUGCAUCGAGUGUUUGGUGUUUUUAAAAAUACCAUAGCCGGACUAUAUUAGAUAUAUAUAUAUAGAGUUGGGUUGGAAUAGUCUUAGGGCGCAUUUGGUUCGAGUUAUGUAAUAUUACAGAAUAUUUCAAUAUAUCCAGGUAUCUUGGAUUUCUAAAUUAGAUUACCACUGAUGCUGCAUUAAUGCAUUUAGUUUAAUACAGUAAUAUAAUACUGGAUUGCACUGUUUAGAGCGUUGCUCAAACAUUAAGCAAUUCAAGCAAAAGUGGAGAAAACUAACCGAAUACGAAGAAACCUCUCUCGAUCUCCAAAUGAGAGGUAGAGUCCUUCAAAUCCAACCUAAACAAAGUUUCUAAACCCAUCAAUUUGGUUCCAAAACCCUCUAAUCAAAAAUCUCCAUUUCUAACCCUAAAUCUCAUUUCUUGGGUUUCAUCUCAAGAAAUCCAUCAAAACAUGCUCCAAAGGGUAGAUUAAGCUUACUAACCUCACAAGAUGUCCCAAACCAAGCUUGGAAUGCACCAAGGUUGAAGAUCCUUCCUCUAUCAAGCUCCAACAAAAGCUUCAAAGCUUCUCCAAUGGUGAACACCCAACAUAGAGCAAGAAGGAGAAGAAGAGAAGGAUCAAAACUAGCUAAAAUCCAUCAAAAAGAGAGAAAAGCUCAAGGGAGGGGUCCUCACCUAGUUCCUCCACGAUUUAGGGCUCAAAAGAGAACUCAAGGGCUGUGGAGGUGUUUAUAGAUAAGCUACAAUUACCAAAACACCCUCGAAAAACCAUCAUUAUGCAGUUAGCCAAAGUGUACCGGUACAAAUCCUGCGAGACAGCAAACGCGAGCCUCGGGUUUGCAAUUCACCACAUCUGUACCGAUACAACCAUCAAGGUGUAACCGGUACACUUUCUGUACCGGUACAACUAUCAACAUGUAGAGGUACAUAUUCCUGCAGAAUAUGAACAAUCCAUUGCUCAUCCGCUAUGUAAUCUAGUCGUUAAUUUAGCAUAACAAAUCGAGUAGGAUUACACCGAAAAUAUUAACGAGAGAGGGAUCGUGUAUCUUGCACUACUGAAAACCGAUAAUACUAUAUAUUAUAUAAAAUAACAAUUUUACCCUCUGACUCUCGAAACCCUUUCAAUAUGUUAUUUUAUAAAAUUUAAUUUAAAAUUUUUAAUUGUCAACUUUAAGUUUUUAAUUUUUAAUUUUCAAUUUAAAAUAUAAAAUUUAAAAUUUAAAAUUUUUAAACUUCAAAUUUUAAAUUUUAAAAUUUAAAUUUAAAUUUAAAUUUAAAUUUUAGAUAUUAAGUUAUAAGUUUGAAAUUUCAAAUUUUAAAUUUCAAAUUUUAAAAUUUAAAUUUUAAAUUUUAAAUUUUAAAAAAUAAAUUUGUAUUUUAAAUUUUGAAUUUUAAAUUAGAUUUUAAUUUAUUAUUUUAUAUAUAUUUAUAUUUAAAUUUUAGAUUUUAAAUUUAAAACUUUUGUAUUUUAUAUUUUAAAUUAAAAUAUUAAAUUUAUAUUGUAGCAUCCCUGGAGUACAACAUUUGAGGCUUGUCGACACGUCGUGAGGGUGUCGGGACACGUGUCGGGACAAGUCCGAGUCGCGUUGGCGCGAAAUAGAUGCAAAACGGACGCAGUGGGGACGCAAGAGCAGAAGUUAACAUUAUGCAAAUUGCAGGUUUCCUGCUUGUUGAACCUGUACAACAUCAGAGGUGUACCGGUACACUUGCUGUACCGGUACAACAUCGGAGGUGUACCGAUACACUUCGCCUGUUUCCGCGCAGCUGCUCUCAGGUUGCCAUUUGUACCGGUACAACUGCUCGUGUACCAGUACACUAGGGUAGGUGUGUCACGCCCCGAAGCCGCUACCAAUUUGGUCCGGUUCGGGCGCGUCGAACAGACGCCGAACGGACAGCACCUCUCCUGUCCGCCCAAGGCCAAACAACCAGAUCAUGUACAGUUAAGCGCCCAGGGAAUGCUUAAAUAACAUACAUGAUCGAUACGAUGCACACAAGUGCACAAUAGCUAAGAGCAAGAACCACGAGUGAAAUACAAGUGUAUAAAGAGAGUACAUCUAGCUAAUACAACCAUUCAACAUUUACAUCAUUUGAAUAUAUUACAUUUCCAUCUUCCAAAUGUAAGUACAUGUUCUCAAAAUACAUCAUGGCUUCCCAAUAUCUAUCCAAAACAUCUAGUACACGAGGGUACUCUAAUGCAUAAGGGAAAGCUACUAACUAGGCUCACUUAGGGCGCUAUGCCCUUGCCGCGAUCCUCGCUCGGCUCGCCUCUGUGUGUACCUGUACCCCAAAACCACACGGGGUGAGAACUAUAUAAAUAUAGUUCCCAGUGGGUUCGGCCGCCGACGCCGCCGGUUUUCCCACUAGGUCUAAGCUGGCACAGAUAGAGAGAUAGAUAGAUAUAUAAAGAUAAACUGCAACUACUCUAUCAUGCCACCAAUGAUAAUAAUGCAUGCAACAACUACUAUCAUGCUAGUAUCAUGUCAUGAGUAUAUAAAGGUGCAUAGUAAUGUAAACUACAACAUACACUAUGUCUACUCAAGGUAAUAAUGCAAGUCUACUAUGCAUUUCAUGUUUAUUACCCAAUCUACUUGGUUGACCCGUAGGUUAACCCUCGACUCACUCUCAAUCUCAUAGGUGAGGAGAAGCUGCACUCGCACACCGAGACCGUCUGCGGGACAACUACGUCUGCCCCUAGUGAAGUACUCCGGAGACUCGUGCUUCGAUGGAGCGACCACCGACAAGCAAAACAGACUAGUGAGUAUGAUCCAAUCCUCUCAAGAGGAUACCCUGUCUACUAGGGUCAAUGUGCCUCUGCUGCACAGUCAUGAUAUAUAAUCAAUGUUGGGACCUCUACUAUCCCUAGGUUCAUGUCAAGUUUACUACAUUAGACUCAAUGCCACUCGUUCGAUCAUUGUAGUAAGUUUUCUACUAAUUGACAUGCCACUCGUUCAAGUUUAGUGUCUCUACUACACUAGUUCAAUGCCACUCUACUAGGCUAUGUCCAAGUUCGGCUCUUUAUGCCGCUAUAGGAUUCUAUGUCAUAAGACCCAAUCCUCAUGCUACUCUAGUCUAGGUGUUCAACUCAUAAGUACACUACUAAGAAGCAUGCAAGGAAAAGGAAAUAUACAUUUAUUAAUCCUAUAAUGCAAUAUGAUCAACAUAUAUGUAACUUAGACAUAAAAAGAAACCCGGAUGUUCCGGAACGACACCCCCCACCUUUCGUGUAUACGGAGGCUCUAGAAAUGUGCUUCGGCGUCCUUUACGACGAAGCCUCGGUCUUCUUGUUCAAAUCGAUGCUCAAUCGGCCUUAUUUUGCCGAUAACUCUUGACCCGCUCGACGAAUCGAAUUUCCGACUUCGCCUCCGCGUUUAGGCACCUAUCAAUUAGGUCUACAAGGUCUCAAAUGAGAUCAAUUCCAUACUUUACCAAAAACCCUAUUUUGGUGCCCUAGGGUUAGCAUCAAGCUAAACCCAUCUCAAAACCCUAGGUUCUAGCUUCAAUCCUACCAUUCAUGGUGCUAGGGAUCCAUUUGAUCCCAUCAAAAGAGCUAAAACCCAAAAACCCCAAAUUUCACAAGCUAGGGUUAGAAGCUUACCUCUAGGUUAGCUUAAAAGAGAGAAGAGAGGAUGAGGGAGAAGUCCAAAAGCUUUCUUUUAUUGAUCUCCUUCUUUUUCUCCUUCCUUUUCUUCCUUCUUUUCCUUCUCCUUUUUUCUUCUUCUUCUUCCUUUUCUUUUCUUCCUAGAGAGAGAGAGCAAGAGAGUGUGAGAGAGAGAGAGAGAACUGAGGGAGAGUGAGUGGGAGAGAGGGACUAAUAAGCCCUCUAAUGUAACAAUAUCCAGCUGGCCCCCUCAACUUUUCACUCUGUGCACAGCCCUCACCGGGCGAUCUGCGCGCGGAGGGACCGGUCUCUCCGACUUGGGACCGGUCCCCGAGAGCUUCAGCUCGGGUCACGCGUUCGGGUACCGGUCUCUCCCAGAGAGACCGGUCCUCAGGAGACCGGUUCCUCCCUAAGAGACCGGUUCCCGAGAACUGGAAUCUCAGGACUUAGCCAAUUUUCGGCUUUCCUCGCUGGGAUCGCGUUCGGAAACCGAUCCCUCCCUACCAGGGACCGGUUGCCUCAAGCAACCCCGCGACACCAGCUGAUGAGACCGGUCCCUUCCUGCCAGGGACCGGUCCCCGAGAGCAAUUUGCUCCAGUGCAAGUUUUGCACUAUUUGCUCUCGUGGACUCAUUUCCAAUGCACCUUUGGUGAUUUUAACAUCUUUGGCCUUUCCAAAGCUUACGAACACGACCCUUGGUCGAUUUUACAUGAAGUCCAACUCUCGUAUUUCGAGAAUUCACUUCCUCACAAGGUGAGAGGGCAUUUUGGUCUUUCCAUACCUCGUACGUGUCACCGUCUCUCCCCAUUUACUAUUACAGGUGUAGGGAGCUGAGAGAGAGAAGGAAUGCUUUUCUUCAUCUCCUCUCUCUCUAGCUUGGAUCGGUCGUGGAUGUGGUCUCGGGUGGAGCUGGAUCGUCGUUGACGUCGCGUCGCGGAGUCAUUCGAGCACGCGAGCUUCGUGGUGACUGUGUUGGGAGGCCGGGCGAGCGUGGAUUUCUGCCGUUCUCGACGUCGUGCCGAUUUCGAGGGGGGCUAAUUGUCGGUUUACCUUCUAAGUAUAUAUAUAUAGUCGACAUGUGCUCGUUGAGUUGUUUUAUAUAUUGCAAAUCGCUCGAUUCAUGGAUUUGGCGUAUUCGUCUAAAAAAUCUAAAUUUGGAACUUAGUAUUAGAUUAUAGUUAUACUUACACAUGUUGGACUUGGAUAUGACUUAGGAGAAAAUGCGAUUAUAAACUGUCAUAAGCUUAUACUACCAGAUUUAGCUUUAGGAGUCGUUGUUAUUUUAUAUCGCCGCAGUAUUAGCGUGGUGAAUACCCCAGGUAGUAUAGAUUGCUGUUACGCUCGUGCUGGGAUGUCGAGCCUAUUUUUACAGUAGUGUUCAGACUAUUCCGGACUGUUGGGUGCCGUCGGGGUUGAUGGUGGACCCAGAUUGCCGUUUUGGCAUCAGAUUGUGCCGAGAGCACAUGACUUGUUGGUAGUUAGACCAGUUAGACCCUAUGUAUUUGAUUAUAGCCUGUGAGAGCCUGAAUGAACUUGGGAGAGACACUUGUAAACUCGUUAGGUCGCGCCCAUGAAUGUCAUUCCGGAAUGAGGUUUCAUUGCGAUGAGGUCACAGUUUCUAUUGGGAUUGUUCUUGAGCCGGCCACCCUCGGAGUGGUGUACGGUGUAGCUAGAUACAGGCAGGGUGGGUCCGUUUGGGCAGCCCGGGUGAGAUCGUAGUGGCGCUUUUUCCUACCAUUCGUGAGCUUGUGAUUUAAGUGGAGUCACAGUCGUCUUGUCGGACUUUUACUUGAACCGGAUACCCUGGGGCAACGGCGUAGUCUAGUUAGGCGAGACGGGUGCGUUCACAGUCUCUAGAAAGUUUUCUCCACCAAUUGCUCUUGAGCCACGGUGUAGCCUAGUUAGGCGAGACGGGUGUAUUCACAGUCUCUAGAGAGUUUUCUCCACCGACUACUUUUGAGCUAUGGUGUCGCCUAGUUAGACGGGACGGGUGUAUUCAGUCCCUAGAGAGUUUUCUCCACCGGCUACUCAUAGGGUAGUUUACUAGUUCGCUUCGACAGGCAGGUCGGGAGUGUUCAGUCCCUGUGAUGGGUAUGCUUACAGCCCCUGGUGAGAUUGGGUCAGGAUUGACAUUUCCUAUAGAUUGUUAGUGUCAGAGUUUGAUAGUAUAGUGAUUUUUAGAUAUAGAUUUGUUCCAGCAUUACUUAUUUUUCCAGCUCCCUUCUGUAGACUUAGUGAGUGGACCGAUGAUGUUGAGGGCGGCACCUACCGAGGACUACUUGUUUUUACAUUAGUUCUCAUGCCCAAUUGUUCCCUUUUAUUUUGCAGAGCCGUCGUCUUUGGCUGCUGCUGCUGCUGCUGCUGCUGAUCAUGAUCGUGGCAAGGGCGUCGCGAGUUAGAGCCCUACCAGACGAGCCAGAGCUAGUAGAGUACCUUCUGCAGGUAGUUAUAUUUUAUUUUUGAGUUCACGUACAUACGGAUGUUAGGCUUGCUUGUGCGAGCACUUUUGUACCUGGAUGCUACGUAUGUAUAUGGAACUUGUUUUUCUAUCUACUUUUAUUCUAGCAGCUCUAUACUACUGGUUGUAGUGUUAUUUGUUUACAGAUUCAGUACAGCUUCGCUUCGUAUAUAGGGAAAAUUCCUUCGUAUACGUCAGGUCUGUUGACGUGCCCGGAAAAAUGUGUAAUUCGGGGCGUGACAUAUAUUUUUGUUAAAAUUUAAAAUUUAAAAUUUUUAAAAUUAAAUUAUUUAAAAUAAAAUUUGGUAAAAAAACAUUGUUUAUAAACAGUAAAAAAAAAUUACGAAAUAUGACUAUGGGCAAUUUUGGAAUAAGCUAAACUUUAUUGUCUAGAUUACUAAAUUUUAUAGACAGAACCAAACAUAGCAACGCUAUAAACAGUGCAAUCCAGUAUUAUAUUACUGUAUUAAACUAAACGCACUAAUGCAGCAUCAGUGAUAAUCUAAUUUAGAAAUCCAAGAUACCGGGAUAUAUUGAAAUAUUUUGUAAUAUUACAAAACUCGAACCAAAUGCGCCCUAAGACUAUUCCAACCCAACUCUGUAAAUAUAUAUCUAAUAUAGUCCGGCUAUGGUAUUUUUGAAAACACCAAACACUCGAUGCAUGUAAGUUUUCUACCUUUAGAUCUACCCCUUUUGCCAUUUUCACUCCUUAGAUUAUUCUAUUUCACCAAUCACCCAUUCAACCUUAGGAGACCACUAUCAUCCUAACCGCACAUCCCUUCAGACAACCACUUAACCAGAAUCAGGUCAGUUUAGUUUUUAUUGCCGGUUCAUCUACCAAUGAAACUAGGGCUUCAAAAUCGCCUACCUCGCCGAUGACUCCGUUGACUCGUCCUCUUUUCUCGAGCUUUCCCCUCCGACUUUCUCUGCCUUCCUUGCUCAUGCCCUUUGGCCUGCCUCUCCCCCUCUCUCUCUUUUUCUUUCUCUCUCUCAUAUAAUUAUAAUUGUUGGCACCACACCACACGAGUCCUCGACAUAUCAUUAUAUAUUAUUUUUUAAUCCAGACUUGCAAUUGUUAGGGAUGUAAAUGAAUCCAAGAUGGUGGGGCUCUCGCCCCAAUCCGCCCUAAAUGAGGGAAUAAACAAAAAAAAAUAAACGGGUUCGAGGCAGAAAACAUAGUGAUUUUUAUGAUUCGAGAUAGAUUUAGGGCAAGAAAUGAGAAAAAUUUUGACCUGCUCCAAAUUUGCCUUGAAUCCGCCCUGCCAUAAUCUGCCACGAAUCCGCCCCGAAAACCAUUUAUAUUUUAACAAAAUACCCCUCAAAAAAUAAAAUAUUUACCAAAAAGUCCAAAAUACAAAUAAGUUAGUACUCUCAUUUCUCAUGAAUUUGAAACUUUUGAAUUUUGCUUCGGAUUGUGAUUUAUAUUUUUUAUUUUUAUAAUUGAUGUUGUUAAUUAUAUAUAUAAUUUGGUAACAUUGUUCACUAUUACUAAAAAAUAUAUUAAUUUAUAUUUUAGAAAAUAUUAAUAAUAUUAUAAUUUGUAAAAAAAAAAAUAGUUGACCUGGCGGAUUCAGGGCAUCGGCGACAGGUGAAUUAGGAGGCGGGGCGGAUUAUGAGAUAUAUUUUUUAACCCGUGGGCGGGAUUUGUUAGUCUGGGCGAGGCUCUCGUCUCCAAAUCCGCCUUAUUUGCAUCUCUAGUGGUUGAUUAGGGGUGUAAUGUGGGCCGUGCCGUGCUGGCAUGCACGGCCCACAUUAGCUGGGCCGAUUCGAACCGAGAGUUGGCCCGGCCCGACCAGCUUACAAAUGCGGGCUAAGCCGUGCCGACCUGUUUCCUUGGAGAGGAAGGUCUGGCCCAGCCCCUGGCCCCUCUAGGAUGGGCCGGGCCGGGCUUCAGGCCAGCCCGGUAAUAGCCAAUAGGUUUUUUUCCCUGUCCCUUUUUCUAAUUUUUUUAAAUUAUUUUUUUAAACUAUUUUUUUAUUUUUGACCAAAAUGCCCUCUCUAACUAUCAAUUUUUUGAAUUUUAGUAAGGGCAUUGUCAUCAUUUUGAUCAAUUUUUCUUUAUUUUUUAACCUUUUUUUUAAAUAAUAGUAAAAAUAGUAUUUUUUUCGAAGAAAAAAAGAAAAAAAAUGACCCAACAGCUAUUGAGCCGUUGGGCCCUCUGUCUGAGAAUUGGUCAAAAAGUCCUAAAGCUUAAAGGCAGUUGGGCAUGCAGCAUGUUAGCCAGGCCUAUAAUAUGUAAUAGGCUACAGCUUACAGGCUUUAGAAGUAAAUAGACCGUGUCGUGUCAGCCCGGCUGGCACGGCAGGCUGGGGGUCGACCUUCCGGCUCGGCACGGCCCAGACACGACAACGGUCGUGCCGUGCCGGGCCUACGGGCUGUAGAAGCUCGGCCUAGCACGGCCCAUAGAGCUAGGCCGAGCUGGCCUGGCACAGAUGCUACAGGAGCCGUGCUGGGCCACGACCCAGCCUGCAGUCGUGCCGGGACAGGCAGCCCACAGGCCGCUAGGCCCGUUUUACGCCCCUACGGUUGACACUAUAGAAUCGAUUAUAAAGAAAGUGGUUUCCCCGGCCAAAAAAAAAAAAGCCUCUAACUCUGCCAAAAACCCUAAUAUCUCCCAAAAAAUAGAGAACGCCUUUGCCGACACAACACCUCCCGACGGCCGCGUCUUAUCCUCCUCCCCGGCGGCCACAUCUGCUUUGCCCCCGCCGGCGGCCGCACGCGGUCUGCUAUCCCCAUCUUUUGGGCCGCGUCUGCUCCGGCGCCCCCCCCUGCUUGGUGUGUUUUUCGCCCUCCCGCGCUUAGGCCCCCCCACCCCGUGGCAGUUGGCCCGCUCGGUGUGCGCCCUUCCCCACUUCCCUGCAGCUUAUCUUUAAAAAAAAAAAAAGAAAAAUCUCUGCUGCUUAGUUACUUUCAUCCGUAGUUACUUUUAAAACUACUCUCAUGUUCGUUCUUAUGCGACACUCUUUUACACAUCAUCAUUUCGUUCACAUGGUUAACUGCAUGCCCGGUGAGACCUAAUAGAUGUAAAUGUACCUAAUAUCUUUUGCUAAUACAAACACAAAUACAAUUUUUAUUGAUCUAAUCAAUCUUCACUACUAUCUUGAGUCACCCAUGUGGCGCAAUAUACUUUACGCAGUUCUGUAUUUCCCUAUAUUGUGCUUCUUACAUUUGAAAGUGGGUUAUGCUUUUCUGCAGAUUAUGCCCUGAAGGCAUUCUUUUUUGGGCUGGAGAGUUAAGUGACUUUUUCUCCUUGCAACUCAUCCGGAGCACUGGUAUGUUGAUUGAAGUUGUAUUUUCAAAUAAUUUAGAUCUUAUUGUUUUGAUCUUAUUAUAAAUUCAACCGAUUUAGACCGGAGCAAUUGAAGUUAGAUACAGUUUUGGGUUUUUGUUUAGUCUCGAAUGUUGUACAUUUGUCUUUUUAUUUGGAUCUUUUAGUAGAAUUCUGGAGGAUGCAAGCGUUAUUCAUUAAAGCCUCCCUAGUUACAGUAUGCCAGGAAGAAGUGAGCCAUACUGGGCAUUAUACUUUUGAUCAGUGUUGUUGAAGCCUCUUACUAUAGCUGCUAAGCUUAUUGUUUAAAACAACAAUGCUAGAAAAAUUAUGACUGUUGGAAGAGCAAACAUAAGAAAGCUUAUCAAUAGCUUCUGAUACAGAAAAUGACUAUAUUGGCACUAUACUUUUGAUUUUGGCAGUAGAGUUGUUUUUGAUUGAGCAUAUGCAUUAAACUUAGUGUUCACUUCGUAGGCUUUACUGAAAUCAAUAAAGCUAAUUGUAGGUGCAGUUCCUACCUUAUUAAUAUAAAGUAACUCAACUAGAAAUAAAGUAACUAAACAGCAGCAGAGAUUUUUUUUUUUUAAGCAGUUUUUUGAGCAUUGAUUGUAUUUACAUUUUGUAAUGUAUCCUAUAAUGACAAAAUAAUGUUCCCCUAUGUACGCUGUGUUAAUUGUUCAUUACAGAAAUUUGAGGAUGCGAAGAUAUACUUAAUAUGUGAUGGCUUACUAAGGGAAUAUAUAAGAUGGGUUUGUCAUGGAGGGGAGCCUUUAUCUCACCUCUUCUUCAACUUCUUAGUCUUUGCAUGUACAAUAUGUUUUACAUGUGCGAAAGUGCAUCCCUAUUACCCAAAAGUUUAGAAGAUCAGAUGACAUAUAUAGACUUCUAAAGGAUGCCAUUGGCUUAGCCGGUGAAUCAACUCAUGAAAUAAAUAUACCAAUUAAAGAAUUUGGCGGAAGGGCGGACCCAGAACAAUCUACAGUAGAACCUCGCAUAGAAUAAUCUAGUCAAGAGACUAAUGAAAAUCGUGAUUUUCAUAAACUACUAAAAGAUGCAAAUGAAGAAUUAUAUCUGGAAUGCAAGACAUUUUAAAAACUAUCUUUUAUACCCUAUUUGUUCCACUUGAAAUGCCUAAAUAGUUGGUCAGGAAAGUCAUUUAGUACGUUAUUAGAGACACUGGCUGAUGCAUUUUCUGAAGGUACUUCAUUACCCCGUUCUUUAUAUGAAGCAAAAAAAUAAAAUUAUUAAGACCUUAGGUCUAUAGGUUAUGAGAAGAUUCAUUGUUGUCUAAAUGAUUGCAUAUUAUUUCGAGAUGAUAAAGUAAAUUAGAAAGUUCGUGGUGUUUGUGGGUCCUCUCGUUGGAAAAUACUAGUAUAGAAAAAGAUCAUAUUUCAAACAAUGAAGAUAAUGCUUCUAACACACCUGUCAUAUCAAGACAAAAGAGGAAGAUUUCAGUAAAAGUUUUACGUUAUUUUCCUCUUAUAUCAAGGCUGCAAAGGAUUUGUUGUCUCUACGAGAACUUCGAAUGAUAUGAGAUAGCACAUCAAAUGAUACAAGAACAUCGUAAGAAGGAUGCGCUAUUAAGAGAUCCUGCAAAUGGUGAAGCAAGGAAGGCAUUUGAUGAACGAUAUGUAGAUUUCUCCUUUGAUUCCCGCAACGUGAGACUUGCUCUUUGUAGUGAUGGUUUCAAUCCAUUUAGAACAAUGAGUACUACUUAUCGUGUAUGGCCAAUUGUAUUGGUUACAUAUAAUUUACCUGUGACACCCAAUAGUCCCACAUCGAAUGGAAAUGAGGUUGUCAUUGGAUUUAUAAGAAACUUAGACAGUAGUAAUAAUAACUGGGCUGAAGCAUUUUGGGUCGGUGGUUGGGCCCAACGAGUUAUUAUUGCUAGUGGGCUGGGUUGUUACAUUUGGUAUCAGAGCCGGUUCACCAGCUGGACGUGUGUGGUGAGUCUCGGCUGAGCCAUGGUCUGGAUGACGGGUUAGCGAGACGAGUCUCACAUCGCCUGGUGAUCUUGGACUGUGUGUGUGAUUGGACUGACGAGGACGUCAGGGCCUUAACAGGGAAAGUUUGUGACACACCAAUUUCUUUUUUACAUAUCAUAUUGAGUUUUAAAUGUGUUUUGUAUGAAUUCUUCAGCUGGUUUAUAAAAAAAUUAUCCUCGCUCGAUUUGUUUCCCUUUUUUCCUCUCUCUUAAUCUUUUUCCCGGGGUUUUGAUUAAUUUCAAUGGGUCAAUUGCCUCAUUGGCUUUGCUGCCUAACUCAUAAUAUUUGAUGACCGGGGGAGUCUGAGCAGAGUAUAUAUAUUUGUUUCCAUGUCCAUUCAUGUAUGCGGUUUGGUAUGAUUUUCACGAGCUGACUUAGGAGUUCUUUGUCUUUGUUAGGAGCAUUGAUUUAAUACUUCAACCAUUGGUUUUAUGCUUCAAUUUUUAAUUCCAAUCGUUUAUUGGACCCCUUCAUAUAUGCUGUUACAUACAAUUUUUCACAUGAUUUGUGCUGGAGAUUUCAUGAAGGAGAGGAACUCUUGGAUGGUUUUACUUUAGCAAAAAUUCAGGUUACUUGAAAUGUAAUUGGUGCAUUUUAGUUAUUUAAGCUGAAAUUUCAUCAUGUUGAUGGAAUGGUGAAAUUAACUCUAUUUCCACCAAUCCCUUAUUUGAAGUUGUGAUUUCUUUAAUUCUUUUUCUGUUUUUGGAGCUGAAAGCUUAAGAAAUUUCACUACAGGCCGCAAGGUUGAUUGAUCUUUAGUUUAGUAAAAUUUCAAAUUUUUUUUCGUCAAUUUCACUAUUGAUGCAGCUUUGUAUUGGAGUAGUUUACCUCCUGUGCUGAUUUUGGGGGCACUGAAUUCUUGCUAGAUUGGAGGCUGAGGAGACGUGUGUUUGUUAUCGAUUCAGCACUAUAGUUGGGUUAGCACUUGAGGUGGGUUUAAUUAAUCAAAUUUGAUGGAAUUCCCACUGUGUACUAAAUUCCUGCAUACAUGCUAUCCACUUAUUCAAAUACAUGCUUAUAAUCAAUCAACUCAACCAUAUUGGCAUAGCUUCAUGUUAGAUAUUUUGUAUAUCGAAAACUUUUAGUGAUGAUAACCUUUUUUCGAUGAUGUCAGUUCAAAUCGACUCAAAUUUAUGCAUUGAUUUGUCGGAGCUGUGUUUUUUGACUAGCUUUUGUAUCCAUUUAUUUGGGGAAGGGGGGCGGGGGGUGUCUUGCAAAUACUUAGUUAUUUGACAUCAUGCUUUUGAGGCUAGAAAAAACUCUUGCCUAUUGCCUUUCCUUCAGCAUGAUUUGCCAAAAAAAAGAAAUUCCUGGAAUCCGCAAGUACCUUUUUUGUUCCUGUUUGUUUUCCAAAAAAGAUAACAAUCAUGUUUUCUACAUUUUCUUGCUGGCUGUAGGUUCUUUGUUGCUCUUUGUAGAUGUGUUCUGUGUGGUUUAUAAUAAUGCUUUGUCAUUUCUAGGGUACUUUGGCUUCACCUAUUUUUGUGCAUGCUAUGAUGACUGCCUCUUGAUUUGUCAUUUCUUGGGUACUUUGCCAGCGCCUCUUUUUGUGCAUGCUAUGAUGACUACCUCUUGAAUACCAUCAGAACCACGGCUUUGCUACAUUGUUUUUUUACUAAUAUUACUUGGUUUUAUUUAUUUCUUGCUGUUUUUUUCUAAUUUUCUUGCUCUUCUUCAAGGCUGUGAUGAUAAAUAGAGGAAAGUGUGGAAAAUAUUGUCUUCGAAUGAGUGGAAGUUUGGAUGGCCUACUCAUAGGCAACUGCUUCCUACUAUUGUUAUUCUUAUGAUUGCACACAUUUCCCUCCAAUGGUAAUCUACUGCUCAGCAACCAUUUCCUACUGUUCUUAUCCUUUGUCAUUGUGCAACUUUUCUUUCUACAAUAAUCUGUUUGUUCUGUUUUCUAUUUGUUCUUUGUUGAAUUCAAAUUGAAGCCGAAUUUCGUACAAAUUAGAGUCACUUUUCGCAUGCUUUUGCCGCAAACUUCUGGGUCAUAUUAGCACGUUUCUGGAUGCCGCCGACAGCAGCAAGGGCUGCUGCCAGCAGCAGCAAAGGCCGCUGCAAUGACAGCCUGCAAUACCAGGGACUACUGCCGCUGCAGCAAGCGGCAGCAGGGGUUGCUGCUGCUGCUGCUAUUGCGGCCAGCAACAGCAGAGUCUGCUGCUAUGGUUGUUGCCUCAGAUAGUGACAGCAGCAGGCGCUGCAGCAGAUGCAAUAGUUGACGCAGUAGCCGGAGUGGGCACAUUGUUCAACGAGUGGUUCCGCUGAAGUCACAGCAGUAGUGGCUCAAAUUUGGGCUCCAAUUGCGUCCAAAUUCACCUCAUUUUGAAAUGGAAGUUGAUCCAAGAAUGAGGAUGACAAUGAGCUUCAAGUUGCACUUUGUUCCAUUUGAAAUUAAGAUGAAUUGGUAGACAAGUGAGUUAAUUAUUGAAGAGAGUGGGAAAUUCAGAUUUUGAUGGAUAUUUUCUAACGAUGAAUUGGUAGGCAAGUGAGUUAAUUAUUGAAGAGAGUGUGAAAUUCAUAUUUUGAUGGAUAUUUUCUAAUGUCUUCAUCUAUUUUUUCCCUAAUUGAGUUGUAGGCAUAAAAUUGAUUUCAUUUUGGUGCUCAACUGAGGAAGAGAAGCCUGUGGACUGUUUGCAGCUGCAUUGGUUCUAUUUUUUUGUAUCAAGAUCUUUCGAAUGCAUAUAUUAUCGCUGCUGAUUUAUAAAUUUGUUUUCUUUUUCCUGGCAAUUUUUUUUUUGUGUGAGUACCUCAAAAAGGUGCAGGUUUAUCUAUGCUUUUAUGCAAUUUUCGUCUUCAGGUUUAUGCUCUUUUCUUAUUUUGUUAUGUCUUUAUGAGAUAAAGUAAGACCCAUUUUUAAAUCCAACUUUCUACCUAAUCUUACAUGUCGUGCUAGGGUUGGUAACCGAUGUAUUAUAAAAAGACCUUGAAUUUUUUUCCUGCAGUGUUAAGUUUCAUUCUAUUUCCCGCACCAGUUUCUUUUUUGCAUAUCUUAUUGAGUUUUGUAUGUAGUUUGUAUGAAUUCUUGAUUUGUUUCACUCAUUUUUUUUCCUCUCUUAAUCUUUUUUCUGGGGUUUUGAUUAAUUUAGUCCAGUUGGGGAUUUGGGAGCUCUACUCAUUACUUUCUUUGGUUCAGCAUUAACCUAUGGAGGUUAAAAAAUAUGUGUUUUUAGCUGGAUUGGUCUUUUUUUCCUUUUUAAAUGCACAUUUUCUUGAUGUAAGUACCUAAAAAAUUUGCAGGCUUAUAUACACUUUUGUUCAAUUUUCGUUUUCAGAUUUCUGCAUUUUCUUAUUUUGCUAUGUCUCUAUGAGAUGAACUAAAACUCAUUUUGGAAUCCAAAUUUCCUCCUAGCCUUACAUGCUGUUCUAGGAUUAGUAAUGUAUUAGAGAAAGGACUUGAAUUUUGCUAAUAUUAAUUGGUUUCAUUUGUUUUGCUGUUUUCCUCGAUUUUCUUGUUCUUCUUUUGGGCUAUGAUGAUCAAAAGCACAUGAGGAUUUUAAAUUUUCCUAUUCUACUAUAUAAUUUUAAGUGUGCACAUGUGGUGCCUUCCUGCUGAUUCAGAAUUUGCCAGCAGCUCUCUUUGUACAUUCUUUAUUUUCAUGAGGUGUGGAUUGUGGGAUUGGAUCGCUUGAUAUUUAAUUGGUGGCCAAAUAUGACCGUGGAGCAUUUUAUUUCUAUUCAGUGUUUGGUUGUACUAGAGUUUUCUAUUUCUAUUUUUGUUUGUCAUUAACUGGAGUAACUUUGUAUGGCCUCCACUACUUCUAUACAUCGUUAUUUUACUAAUAUUACUUGGUUUCCUUCUGUAACACACUGGACCUUUGCAAAUUGCGAGGUUCGAGUGUUUGGUUGUGUUUCGAGCUUUUCCACACUUGGUGGAGGGUUGUAAAAUGUUCCCCGACCCGAAAAGUUCGAAAACUGGAACUUUGGACAAGUCCUGAGAGUUUUUACUCUCGGGGACCGGUCCCUGGAGGGAGAGACCGGUCCCCCCAGUGAGUAGUGUUGAGGCAGCCUGAGGCAACCGGUCCCUGGCAGGCGAGACCGGUUCCCGAACGCGUCUUCGCAGUGAGAGACCGGUCCCGCGCAGGGAGAGACCGGUUCCCGAACGCUGGUUUUUCGGGUUCGCAGCGAGAGACCGGUCCCUGCUGGGGAGAGACCGGUCCCUCUGGGCGAAAACUGCCCAGUUCGGGCUGAUGCAAUUUUGGAUUUUUGAGGGGCCUCACUGGAUUUUGUUACAUUAGAUGGGCUUAUUAGCCAUUUCCCCCUCUUCCCUCUCUCAUUCUCUCAUUCUCACCCUCUCCCUACAUUUUCUAGAGAGAGAAGAAGAAGAAGAAGGAGGAGAAGAAGAAGAGGAGCUAGCUUGAGGGAGCUUGGAGCUCAACCCCUUUCUCUCUUUCCCACCUUUGCAAGGCUUGGAGCUUGCUUGUAGAGCUUAGUGGUGGACCAAACUUCAACCCUAGGGCAUUUUGGGCUUGGAUUGAAGCUUCCAAAGGGUUAGUAUCAUGUUUCCCUCCUCUAGAUUCUUGUUUUUGUGAUUUUUGGGAGAUGAAACCCUAGAAAUGAGAUUUAGGGUUUGAUUUUGGGCUUUUUGAAUCUAGGGCUUUUGGGGUUAAAUUGAUUGGUUUAGAACCUUCCUUAGGCUUGGAUUGGAAGGGUUCUAGCUCUCUUUCGGAGCUUUGGGAGAGAUUUCUACUCUUGAGGUAAAUGUUGACCCUUUUUGCUUCUAGGUUAAUGUGUGAUCUUACGGUUGGUCGUAAUACUCUCGUAUCUCUUCGCUGAUCACUUUUAGGGUAUUUUGAGACUCGGGGACAACUUUGUUCGGCGAAUCGAGACCCUACGCGACGGUUCGGUGGGUUUGACCUAGCCUAUGAUAUGAAAAAUGCUCAUAUUUGGCAAAUAUGUUUCGUAAAAUAGAAAUUCAUGCAUUUCCAUGUUAAAUGUAUUUAAUAUGAAUUUUAGAAUGCUUAACAUGCAUAGGUUAUGUGUAGUAAAUUUUGGGACCUCUAUAUAGUAGAGAGCAUGUAUGUGUGGCCUAGCAUUCUAGAUGAGACUUGAAAUUACAAUCCCUAUUAUGAAAACGAACCUUGCUUUCAUGCAUUCAAACUAUAUACCAGUUAUGACAUUAGGGAUUUUUGGAAGCCUAGAGAGGCUUAGAGACUUAGAGGAUAUGUGAGAUUGGGCCAAUGUCAUGAAGAGGCAUUGGGGCCCGGGGCAUAGUGAGCAUUAAUGUUAAUGUCCUAUUUGGAACAUGAUUAGUUGUGGAGCUUAAGUGUCAUAAAGAGGCACUAAGCAAGUGUGUGUUGGGACCUCACAUUAUGACUUUGAACUAGAUCUUCGGGAUACUAGUGACCAUACCAUGUUAGAGACAUGAGGAUUGAGUACUUGAGACUUUGACCUUGCUUGUUUGCCAUUUGUGCUCAUUCGCACAUGCUUGUGAGGGUCGCUCCCUACAAGCCGGCACUCCGGAGUUGGCCUAUGCGACUUUUGUUCGCUCGUGCGGUAUUGAGAAGCCUACGGGGUCGAGUGGGACAGACACAUUCCAAGAGUAGGAAUGUCGGGCUACCACAGGCACUUAGGCGGCACAAGCUGGACUACCUUGGGUAGGUCCUUAAUUGGAAAUGGAAAUCGACACGGUUUGAGAGUGAAUGAUCACUACUAGAUAGACUUAGUAGUUGGAUUACGUUUACAUGCUUUUAGCAUAGUGUGAGACAUGUAGUAUACUUGGUUGCCAUGAUAGAACACCUACAUCAUGUAUUGACAAAGGUUAACAACAUUAAACUAGUGCCAAUUGGACUUAAUUGUAAGGAUAGAAUAGAUGUACAUUUUGGUUGACAUCAUGUUUACUUGAGACACAGUAGACUAGCAUUCCAAUUGUGCUUUCUUUCAGCAGUUUAUUUACAUGCUCCUUAUUGCUUAUCAUUAUUAUUAUCGUUGCUUACCCUUAUUUUUGGGGCCUAGUGGAGCAUGAGCUGAGGUCAGUAAUUGCCCACUGGGAACUAUAAAUUAUAGUUCUCACGCCCUCUUUUUCUCGAUGUUUUUCAGAGCCUUCCACGCAGGGAGAGGCCAGGGAUCGCGGAAAGGGUAUCGCCUCGGGCUAGCGUGCUUACCGAGGGAUCGUUCGAUAGGUGGUCUACCUCUCGUGUUAUCUUUUUGUGAGAGGUUGAGAGUUGUACCCGUAUAUGUAUAGAGACCACCAUUUUUGUACUAGAGACAGAUAUUGUACUACUUAUGAUUUCCUUUAUUGUCUAUCCUUAUCUCCUUACUUUGGUGUAGAUGCUAGAACUAUAUUUGCUCUGAUAUCAUUAGUUGCUGGUUAUUUCACUUCUUUUAUUUGUUCUAUUUCUUGCUUUUCUUCCGCUUUUAUUGUAGACGCCUUAUAUGUGUAGACAUAUGGCGGGUCUGGGCACGCUACCAGGAGGGCCUCCGCCGGUCCCGGGGCGUGACACCUUCAUUCCUUGGUGUUUCUUUCUAUUUGCUGGCUCCUUUUUGAGGUGGUGAUGAUGAGUUGAGGCAAAUGUGGGGAUUGCUUUUUCUGAACAAGUUCCUUAAUUUCUUGGUGUUUUUUUCUAUUUGCUGGUCCUUUUUUGUGGCGCCGAUGAUAACUUGAGGAAAAUGUGGGAAUUUUUUUGCUUCGAACAAGUUGAAGUUUGGAUGGCCAGGUCAUAGGCAACCACUUCCGACUGUUCUUAGCUUUGGUUGUUGCGCGUUUCUUAUCCUUCAUGGUUGCCCACAUUUCCUCCAGCGAUAAUCUAUCAGUGCUUCUAUCCUGUGCUUAUAAACAAUGUUGUCGAACCAACUUGACUGAGCCUUACAUUUUUCUCUUUUUUUUUAACUUAUUAAAUUUUUUUCCCUGUUUUCCCCUUACCUUUUUUUCUAGGUCAUUAUAUUAGAAUUUAUAUCGCUGUUGGGUUUGGUUCUUGCUUAUUGAUUUUUAAAAUAAAAUUUAUGUGAUUUAGAAUAACCAAAUAUAUUUGUAAUUAAUAGUAAUUUUGUUAAUGGAUUUCCGUGGCAAUGAUGAUAGAUGAAAGAAAUUUGGCUUAAGCUGUCCUCUUGGCCCGUAGGAGUGCACACUCCUAAUUAAAUACACCUUUCGUCUGAGCCUUGAUUUAUUUUCUCCCGCAAUUUAUGAUUUGCUUAUAUUUUUAAAGCAAAAAAAACCCAAGCAUCAUAGAUUUAUUUAGGCUUUUCUCUUUUUUUUUUUUUUUGGUUUUCCUCUAGAGUGAGACUACUUUAUACUCUUUUUGGUUUAACUUUAUAUGAAUUCGCAUUCUGAAUUGUAGAUUCUAAGUUCUAAUUUUUGCAAUAAAUGAAUUUUGAAUUCUUAAAACUGUGUUUGUGUGAGAGAUUCUAAUGUGAAUAGCCUUUUUUCCACAUCAUACACAAACAUCUUUUCAUCAAGUUCAGAGCUAUAGUGGCGUGUAGCCUAUCAAUGACCAUCCGUCUAAUUCCUUACCCUCGGCAACUCAGUUAUCAUCAGAUUUAGUCGAAACCUGAAAAUGGAAAUAAACCAGUUAGGGGAAUUUGAGCAAAGUAUAUUUAUUUUCCCUAUAUUCUUCAUGGAAUACGAAUUAUCUAGCUAAAUUUCGGAUUGCCUAGCUGAACUCUGAAUUAUCUAUCUAAAUUCUGGAUUGAAUAUCAGAAUUCAGAAUUCAAAAUUGCAUCGAAUUAUUCAAUGAAUAUAAAAGUUUAGAAUUCAGAAUUCUGAUCUGAUUUGCAUUAAGAUAUUUGAUACAUAUAAAAGGAUAGUAUUCAAAAUAUAGAAAAAAAAGUAUAAUUCAGCAGAAUUUCAUAUAAAAAUCUAAUAUUUAAAAUUUGAAAACUGAAAUUUAUAAUUUAAAAUAUAAACUUUUAAAUUUUAUUUUUAGUAAUUAAGAUAAAUAUAGGAACUUUUACAAUUUUAAGUUUUAAACUUUAACUUUCAAAUUUCAAUAUUUUAAAUAUUAAAUUAUAAAUUGAAUUUGAAAAAUUCAAAUAUUAAAUUUCAACUUCAUAUGUUAAAAUUUAAAUUUUAAACUUCAACAUUUUAAAUUUUAAAUUUAAAUUUAAAUUUUAGAUAAAUAAAAAAUUUUGAACUUUAAAUAUUUAAUUAUUCAUUUCUUUUUUGAUUAAAUUUUAUAAUCAACUUUAGUAAUGCAUAUAAUAAAUCGCGCUUCAAACUUCAAUUUUUUUAUCCCUCUCUAUUUAAAUAAUUUUCUUAAUUUUUCUCUCUUCAAGUUUUUAAAGUUUAAAAUUUAAAAUUAAAUUUGAAAUUUAAAAAAUUAAAAAAUUUUGUUCAAAAUAUUUUAAAAAUUGCGUAAAUUUUUCGCCGCGAAGCGUGGGCCUUCACUUCACUAGUAAGGGGUUAAUUCCCCCUAGUUCCCCAAACAACGAAUGGGCUAAGGUGAGAACAGCUACCCGCAAAGGUGGGAACAGCUGUUCCCACCCGAGGGUGGAACUAGGCUAAUUCCCACCCUGCGACCGAUGUUCCCCUCUCUCUCCGAUUUUUUCGAUCCCCUUUUCUCUCCCUCUUUCGUCUUCCUCUUUCCUCCGGUUUACUGUGCGGCUUCGUUCGGCGAUCUCCGUCCCUUCUUCGACAGAUCUGGUGCCGCCGGAGCUCGGACGGCUACCUUAUCUUCCCCCUUGGCGCCAUCUGUCUCUCCGAAGCCGUUGAUCCCCUUUACGCUUCCUCUUUUCUCCGAUUUACUGUGCGGCUUCGAUCGGCGAUCUCCGCCCCUUCUUCGACAGAUUGUAAUAUACCGGACGAUUCGUAGCCGCCAAAUGAUGAAAUUGCUCUGAUGGCUUGGUCGGCGAUGAGGAUGAUGGUGGUUUCCGGCAGCGGCUUCGAUGUAACCGAGGUAAGAAAAAGGUAAGAGAUAGAGAUAGGAGAUAGAAAAAUGGGGUAGAGAGACAGAGAUAGAGGAUUGAGAUAGAGAUUAAAGAUAGAGAAAGAGUAGAAUUGGGAUAGAGAAAUAGUAGAGAGGAAGAAAGGGUUUGGAGAAAAACUUUUGGGGGAGAAAUAGACUAAUUCAUUUUCAUUCAUCGAUGCCUUGCAAUUACAUCCUGCUAACUAUAUAUAGCCUAUACAACUUGUACUGAAAUGUAAUUAAACUAUUUUAUGAGAUGAAACAGCAAAAGAGUAAGUUUGGAGCAUGGGCCUGAUGGGCCGCCAUUCUCUGGUGGACGGGCCCUCCGUUGGGCUUGAUCGGUCCAAGAGUAUUUGUAACCGGUUCAAGUGGGUAUCGGGUGGCCCCUCUCCGCACUACCCGCAACCCUGCGGGUCUUGGGUUCGCUAUUGCGCCCCGAUUCGAGCUCCCGGUUCGCCCAACCCAUACGUAACGGUAAGUGGGCGUCGGAUCUUGCCUUCUCCGCAUCAUCCGCAACCCGGUGGGGCUUGGAUCCGCGUUUUUCCUCCGCUCCGAGGUCCUUAAGCUUCGAUACGCCAGUCUUCUUCUUCGCCCCAACUCCAGGGAUUCCGUCGGACCUUCCAGCGCCCUCUCCGAGCUUUGAGGAUGCCCUAGCUCCGUCGUCCCACCAGAGCUCCGCCCGGACCACCUCUCGCCAGACUGCUCCGUCAAGCUCGCCUGAGCCCCUUCGAAGACGCUUCUCGUCAGACCCACCUGCCGCACCUUCUCCUCCCCAUCUGCUGCUGCCACUUAUUCUCCUCCUAGCUAGUAAAGCUGCUACCUUUACUCCUCUUAUACAGCUAACUACCAAUACUUGUUAUCUUCCAGGUUGUUACACAGAUCUGGUGCCACCGGAGCUCGGACUGCUACCUCUUCUUCCUCCUCGGCGCCAUCUGUCUCUCCGAAGCCGUUGAUCCCCUUUCCGCUUCCUCUUUUCUCCGGUUCACUGUGCGGCUUUGAUCGGCGAUCUCCGUCCCUUCUUCGACAUAUCUGGUGCCACCGGAGCUCGGACGGCUACCUCAUCUGACUCCUCGGCACCGUCUGACUCUCCGAAGCCGUUGAUCCCCUUUCCUAGCCCUCUUCCCUCCGCGAUUUACUGUGCGUCGCCGAUCGGGAACCUCCGCUUCCUCCUCCGCACCUCGUUGCCUCACCUCAUCCGCGCGCGCCUUCGUCUUACUCCUCGGGUUGGCCGACGCCGGCGAUCGGUAUGAUUUUGCGCCUAUGGAUGCGACCCUACACAAGAGAUCUACUAGAUCUAGUAUUAUGUUACACGGCCGAGCCCUCAAUGCAGAUCUUGUAGAUCUAUUUAUACCCGAACCAUUUAUCUUCCACUUUUGCAGGUAUUUUGUUUGCACGGCGACGCCGCUUGGUGUUGAAAUCCCCUCUUUGUGCAUCCCCUGUUCAUUCUGAACCCGUGCUGCGAUAAGGUUUGGUCUUACCAAGAUUUCAUUGCCCUAACAUCCAAGUUUGCUCUAAGCUUUUGUAUGAUUAGAGGAUAUAUGAGUUACUGCUAUGCAUGCUAAAAUUCUAUCCAUAUCUGAUAUUCAUAUAUGAUGAGUCUAUGGCGUCGAUAGAGAAGAGAACUAUGUGGCAGCAUGUAUGUAAAAUGAUUAUGUUGCUUUGUUUGCCGGAAUGCAUGAUAUAGUGGGAAUAUGAUUACAGUUGUUUAAAUUUACAUGAAGGAUGCGAAAGAUUGUAUUGGCGAUGAUGACGGUUUCAAGUUGCAUUAGAUGGAUGGCAUGAUUCUACAAAUCAAUGCACCCAUAUGCUCCUUGGAAACCAUUUUGAGCCGCAUGACCCAAUAUCACACCAUAAGAUGCCGAUUCUAUCUCAUUAUACAAUCUUUCAACUGCAUCCUUUCAUUAUAAUCAGUUUAUAGUUGUCAACUGCCUUCACUUGUAUUUCAUUACAAUAACUUUGAAAUACUUCAGUUUCUUGAAUAGUCUUCAAUAUGUUUGGAUAUAGUGGAACAUAAAUAUGCUUAGCUAGUGCAAUUUUUACAUAUUUCUCACCAUCUUUAUUAGCUUCUUGACCGUAAUGCAUGUAUGAUAUUGUCAGUUUGUGAAAGUGGACAGACUGAAUUGUGUCAAACCACAUGAAUAGUACUGCAAUGAGAUAGAAUCGGUGGAAUAAUCAUUGAUAACAUAAAAGAUGACAAUUUCAUACAAAUCCAAGGUGGUAAUGUAACGACCCUGCCCACUAGCAAUAAUAACUCGUUGGGCCCAACCACCGGCCCAAAAUGCUUAAGCGUAGUUAUUAUUACUAGUGUCUAAGUCUCUUAUAAAUCCAAUGACAACCCCAUUCCCAUCCGAUGUGGGACUAUUAGGUGUCACAGACUCCCCCUGUUAAGGCCCUGACGUCCUCGUCAGUCCAAUCACACACACAGCCCAAGAUCCCAGGCGAUGUGAGACUCAUCUUGCUAGUCCGUCAUCCAGACUCUGGCUCCAUUCCCAUCCGAUAUGGGAUCCGAUAUGGGACUAUUGGGGCGUCACAAACUUUUCCCGUUAAGGCCCUGACGUCCUCGUCAGUCCAAUCACACACACAGCCCAAGAUCACCAGGCGAUGUGAGACUCGUCUCGCUAGCCCGUCAUCCAGACCCUGGCUCAGCCGAGACUCGCCACACAUGUCCAGCUGGUGAACCGGCUCUGAUACCAAAUGUAACGACCCAGCCCACUAGCAAUAAUAACUCGUUGGGCCCAACCACCGACCCAAAUGCUUAAGCCCAGUUAUUAUUACUAGUGUCUAAGUCUCUUAUAAAUCCAAUGACAACCCCAUUCCCAUCCGAUGUGGGACUAUUGGGUGUCACAGGUAAUUAUAUGUAACCAAUACAAUUAGCCAUACACGAUAAGUAGUACUCAUUGUUCUAAAUGGAUUGAAACCAUCACUACAAAGAGCAAGUCUCACGUUGCGGGAAUCAAAGGAGAAAUCUACAUAUCGUUCAUCAAAUGCCUUCCAUGCUUCAUCACUUGCAGGAUCUCUUAAUAGCGCAUCCUUCUUACGAUGUUCUUGUAUCAUUUGAUGUGCUAUCUCAUAUCAUUCGAUGUUCUCGUAGAGGCAACAAAUCCUUUGCAGCCUUGAUAUAAGAGGAAAAUAACGUAAAACUUUUACUGAAAUCUUCCUCUUUUGUCUUGAUAUGGCAGGUGUGUUAGAAGCAUUAUCUUCAUUGUUUGAAAUAUGAUCUUUUUCCAUACUAGUAUUUUCCAAUGAGAGGACCCACAAACACCACGAACUUUCUAAUUUACUUUAUCAUCUCGAAAUAAUAUGCAAUCAUUUGGACAACAAUGAAUCUUCUCAUAACUUAUAGACCUAAGGUCUUAAUAAUUUUAUUUUUUUGCUUCAUAUAAAGAACGGGGUAAUGAAGUACCUUCAGAAAAUGCAUCAGCCGGUGUCUCUAAUAACGUACUAAAUGACUUUCCUGACCAACCAUUUAGGCAUUUCAAGUGGAACAAAUGGAGUAUAAAAGAUAGUUUUUAAAAUGUCUUGCAUUCCAGAUAUAAUUCUUCAUUUGCAUCUUUUAGUAGUUUAUGAAAAUCACGAUUUUCAUUAGUGUCUUGACUAGAUUGUUCUAUGCGAGGUUCUACUGUAGAUUGUUCUGGGUCCGCCCUUCCGCCAAAUUUUUUAAUUGGUAUAUCUAUUUCAUGAGUUGGUUCACCGGCUAAGCCAAUGGUAUCAUGUAAAAGUCUAUAUAUGUCAUCUGAUCUUCUAAACUUUUGGGUAAUAGGGAUGCACUUUUGCACAUGUAAAACAUAUUGUACAUGCAAAGAUUGAGAAGUUGAAGAAGAGGUGGCAAUUUUAAUUAGGGAAAUAAAAGAUAAAGGCUCCCCUCCAUGGCAAACCCAUCUUAUAUAUUCCCUUAGUAAGCCAUCACAUAUUAAGUGUAUCUUCGCAUCCUCAAAUUUCUGUAAUGAACAAUUAACACAGCGUACAUAGGGGAACAUUAUUUUGCCAUUAUAGGAUACAUUACAAAAUGUAAAUUCUACAAAUUGUGAGACUCCAUUUUUAUAUGCAUCACUAUUUCUAGGUAAUUUGGUCAUCCAACUUUUAUCCAUUAUAGCAAAACAACUAAAAUAACAACAAACAAUUUAUUCAAUAUCAAUUUAUAGUAACGAAGCUACCGAUUAAUUUAGUGAAACAUCUAUGUCAAUAAUUUACUACAUUCAAUAUAGUGCAGUAUAAAAAACUUAUCAAAUUAAGAUAAUAGAAAAGUAUGGAUUGCUAAGAGACACUCCUUAAGAGGUGAUUUUCUAAGCUUUCUUUCAACGCGAACUAGUAGAUUCUUUAUCCUCACAGCAAUGCCCCAGCAAGAGUUUGACUAGGUUCGAGCGUGAAAACCUUCUUACCAAAUUCACCUAAU
This 31770-nucleotide long non-coding RNA is filed under the name Ananas comosus (pineapple). Its description in RNAcentral is "long non-coding RNA (ACOM_LNC028002)". The record is from RNAcentral. Lineage: Eukaryota; Viridiplantae; Streptophyta; Magnoliopsida; Poales; Bromeliaceae.